This 203-nucleotide unclassified non-coding RNA is filed under the name uncultured fungus. RNAcentral describes it as "sequence contains ITS1". Lineage: Eukaryota; Fungi. The record is from RNAcentral.
GUAUAUAGUAGUGCUUGUGCACAACAAGAGUUUCAUUACAUGCGAGUUUGUAUGUAGAAUCCUCUGCCAGCCGAAGCUAGCAAGAGGCCAGAAGUUCACAAGGGUAUUUGGAUGAAAGUCACCCACGUGCACUUGCCGGGGCCAGCACUGAAGGCAACGAUUCACAAUCAAUAAUGAUCCUUCCGCAGGUUCACCUACGGAAA